This 420-nucleotide ribosomal RNA is filed under the name uncultured Alphaproteobacteria bacterium. RNAcentral describes it as "bacterial SSU rRNA". It matches the Rfam family "Bacterial small subunit ribosomal RNA", at positions 537 to 957 of the family's 1533-position model. Lineage: Bacteria; Pseudomonadati; Pseudomonadota; Alphaproteobacteria. The record is from RNAcentral.
AGCGUUGCUCGGAAUUACUGGGCGUAAAGCGCGCGUAGGCGGCUUCGCAAGUCAGAGGUGAAAGCCCGGGGCUCAACCCCGGAAUUGCCUUUGAGACUGCGUCGCUAGAAUCCAGGAGAGGUGAGUGGAAUUCCGAGUGUAGAGGUGAAAUUCGUAGAUAUUCGGAAGAACACCAGUGGCGAAGGCGGCUCACUGGACCGGUAUUGACGCUGAGGUGUGAAAGCGUGGGGAGCAAACAGGAUUAGAUACCCUGGUAGUCCACGCCGUAAACGAUGAAGACUAGCUGUCGGGGGCCUUAGGCUUUCGGUGGCGCAGCUAACGCAUUAAGUCUUCCGCCUGGGGAGUACGGCCGCAAGGUUAAAACUCAAAGAAAUUGACGGGGCCUGCACAAGCGGCGGAGCAUGUGGUUUAAUUCGAAGC